Molecule: ribosomal RNA, 483 nt
Filed under: uncultured bacterium
Lineage: Bacteria
Description: partial 16S ribosomal RNA
Rfam family: Bacterial small subunit ribosomal RNA
Source: RNAcentral
AUUGAACGCUGGCGGCAGGCCUAACACAUGCAAGUCGAGCGGAUGAAGGGAGCUUGCUCCUGGAUUCAGCGGCGGACGGGUGAGUAAUGCCUAGGAAUCUGCCUGGUAGUGGGGAUAACGUCCGGAAACGGGCGCUAAUACCGCAUACGUCCUGAGGGAGAAAGUGGGGGAUCUUCGGACCUCACGCUAUCAGAUGAGCCUAGGUCGGAUUAGCUAGUUGGUGGGGUAAAGGCCUACCAAGGCGACGAUCCGUAACUGGUCUGAGAGGAUGAUCAGUCACACUGGAACUGAGACACGGUCCAGACUCCUACGGGAGGCAGCAGUGGGGAAUAUUGGACAAUGGGCGAAAGCCUGAUCCAGCCAUGCCGCGUGUGCGAAGAAGGUCUUCGGAUUGUAAAGCACUUUAAGUUGGGAGGAAGGGCAGUAAGUUAAUACCUUGCUGUUUUGACGUUACCAACAGAAUAAGCACCGGCUAACUUCGUG